Molecule: non-coding RNA, 84 nt
Organism: Lentinus tigrinus ALCF2SS1-7
Lineage: Eukaryota; Fungi; Basidiomycota; Agaricomycetes; Polyporales; Polyporaceae
Source: the annotation of a GenBank genome assembly
UCUCUGUUAGUAUAUCGGUUAGUACACGCGCCUGUCAUUACUUCAUGACCGCGCGAAAGCGGGGUUCGACUCCCCGACAGAGAG